GACAAAGUCCCAGCAGUAGCGGUCAUACUAUUGAAGAGCCGAGUGUUAUCCAUCCAUACCAGGCGUUAAAAGCGUUCGUUCU
This 82-nucleotide ribosomal RNA is filed under the name Eimeria necatrix. RNAcentral's name for it is "small subunit ribosomal RNA". The record is from RNAcentral. Lineage: Eukaryota; Apicomplexa; Conoidasida; Eucoccidiorida; Eimeriidae.